AUUGAACGCUGGCGGCAUGCCUUACACAUGCAAGUCGAACGGCAGCACGGGUGCUUGCACCUGGUGGCGAGUGGCGAACGGGUGAGUAAUACAUCGGAACAUGUCCUGUAGUGGGGGAUAGCCCGGCGAAAGCCGGAUUAAUACUGCAUACGAUCUACGGAUGAAAGCGGGGGACCUUCGGGCCUCGCGCUAUAGGGUUGGCCGAUGGCUGAUUAGCUAGUUGGUGGGGUAAAGGCCUACCAAGGCGACGAUCAGUAGCUGGUCUGAGAGGACGACCAGCCACACUGGGACUGAGACACGGCCCAGACUCCUACGGGAGGCAGCAGUGGGGAAUUUUGGACAAAGGGCGAAAGCCUGAUCCAGCAAUGCCGCGUGUGUGAAGAAGGCCUUCGGGUUGUAAAGCACUUUUGUCCGGAAAGAAAUCCUUGGCCCUAAUACGGUCGGGGGAUGACGGUACCGGAAGAAUAAGCACCGGCUAACUACGUG
RNAcentral lists this ribosomal RNA (486 nucleotides) under uncultured bacterium. RNAcentral's name for it is "partial 16S ribosomal RNA". It matches the Rfam family "Bacterial small subunit ribosomal RNA", at positions 30 to 507 of the family's 1533-position model. The record is from RNAcentral.